UAAGUCUGAGCCAUUUUUUACUUCUGUCU
This 29-nucleotide non-coding RNA is filed under the name Mus musculus (house mouse). The record is from RNAcentral. Lineage: Eukaryota; Metazoa; Chordata; Mammalia; Rodentia; Muridae.